GACGAACGCUGGCGGCGUGCUUAACACAUGCAAGUCGAACGGAACGUCCCUGCUUUUGUGGGCUGCUCGAGUGGCGAACGGGUGAGUAACCCGUGAGUAACCUGCCCUUGACUUUGGGAUAACUUCAUGAAACUGGAGCUCAUCCCGGAUAGGAGCUCCUGCUGCAUGGUGGGGGUUGGUAAGUUUCGGCGGUUGGGGAUGGACUCGCGGCUUAUGAGCUUGUUGGUGGGGUGGUGGCUUACCAAGGCUUUGACGGGUAGCCGGCGUGAGAGGGUGACCGGCAACAGUGGGACUGAGACAGGGACAAGACUCCGACGGGAGGCAGCAGUGGGGAAUGUGGCACAAUGGCCGGGAGCCUGAGGCAGCAACGCCGAGUGCGGGAGAGCGGCGUUCGGGUUGGAAUCCGAUUGCGCUUGUGACGAAGAGUGAGUGAAGGUAACGGGUAAAGAAGCACCGGCUAACUACGUG
This 468-nucleotide ribosomal RNA is filed under the name uncultured bacterium. Its description in RNAcentral is "partial 16S ribosomal RNA". It matches the Rfam family "Bacterial small subunit ribosomal RNA", at positions 28 to 507 of the family's 1533-position model. The record is from RNAcentral.